Molecule: non-coding RNA, 69 nt
Organism: Podarcis lilfordi (Lilford's wall lizard)
Lineage: Eukaryota; Metazoa; Chordata; Lepidosauria; Squamata; Lacertidae
Source: the annotation of a GenBank genome assembly
GCCAUAGUUCAAUGGUAGAGCAUCUGUUUUGUAUAUGGAUGGUCCCAGGUUCAAGGCCCAGCAUCUCCA